This 831-nucleotide ribosomal RNA is filed under the name uncultured Acidobacteriota bacterium. RNAcentral describes it as "bacterial SSU rRNA". It matches the Rfam family "Bacterial small subunit ribosomal RNA", at positions 1059 to 1505 of the family's 1533-position model. Lineage: Bacteria; Pseudomonadati; Acidobacteriota. The record is from RNAcentral.
UUCUUGCGGUCAUGACGCGCGUCCUAUCUUUAUCACCGACUCAUACGGCUGUGUUCUAGUCGCUANCUCCGUCUUAUAUCGCACCCCCUGACUGCUUUCCCCGUUCAAUGCCGGGUACCCUCCUCCUUCAUUGUUGCGCUCCCGCGUUCGUCCUCCCCUCCCCUCUGCCCAAUCCAAGGUCCCCCCUCCGCCUUUCCCCGCCGCCCCCCAACACUCUUCAGGUCAUGUUCAGCUUGUACGUGCCGUCCUGCUCUUCCGCUUUCGGAUCCCUAGCGGCCUCACUCAGCGGCAAACGCUCCGCAGCGCGCUCCUCCUCCCUUUGUCGGCUCCUUCUCCUUCUUAACACUCCUUCCCGUGGCUACCGGAAUUCCGGCCUGCAUCCUCUCUACCGUCUGACAUCAUGGUCUACCUUAAGUCCCCCACCAGCGCAACCCCUGCAUGUAGUUUCCACUCGCAAGAGGGAACUCUAAGUGGACUGCUCCGGAUAACGGAGAGGAAGGUGGGGAUGCCCUCCCCUCCGCAUGGCGGUAUGUACAGGGCUACACACGUGUUACAAUGCAGGGCACAAAAAAAAGCCAACCCGCGAGGGGGAGCUAAUCGGAAAAAACUCUGCUCAGUUCGGAUUGCAGUCUGCAACUCGACUGCAUGAAGCCGGAAUCGCUAGUAAUGGCGUAUCAGAUCGACGCCGUGAAUACGUUCCCGGGCCUUGUACACACCGCCCGUCACAUCACGAAAGUGAGCUGUACUAGAAGUCGCCGUGCCAACCGCAAGGAGGCAAGCGCCCAAGGUAUGACUCAUGAUUGGGGUGAAGUCGUAACAAGGUAAAUGCCA